Molecule: ribosomal RNA, 2490 nt
Filed under: Pseudomonas aeruginosa
Lineage: Bacteria; Pseudomonadati; Pseudomonadota; Gammaproteobacteria; Pseudomonadales; Pseudomonadaceae
Description: partial 23S ribosomal RNA
Rfam family: Bacterial large subunit ribosomal RNA
Source: RNAcentral
GGUCAAGUGAAGAAGCGCAUACGGUGGAUGCCUUGGCAGUCAGAGGCGAUGAAAGACGUGGUAGCCUGCGAAAAGCUUCGGGGAGUCGGCAAACAGACUUUGAUCCGGAGAUCUCUGAAUGGGGGAACCCACCUAGGAUAACCUAGGUAUCUUGUACUGAAUCCAUAGGUGCAAGAGGCGAACCAGGGGAACUGAAACAUCUAAGUACCCUGAGGAAAAGAAAUCAACCGAGAUUCCCUUAGUAGUGGCGAGCGAACGGGGAUUAGCCCUUAAGCUUCAUUGAUUUUAGCGGAACGCUCUGGAAAGUGCGGCCAUAGUGGGUGAUAGCCCCGUACGCGAAAGGAUCUUUGAAGUGAAAUCGAGUAGGACGGAGCACGAGAAACUUUGUCUGAACAUGGGGGGACCAUCCUCCAAGGCUAAAUACUACUGACUGACCGAUAGUGAACCAGUACCGUGAGGGAAAGGCGAAAAGAACCCCGGAGAGGGGAGUGAAAUAGAACCUGAAACCGUAUGCGUACAAGCAGUGGGAGCCUACUUGUUAGGUGACUGCGUACCUUUUGUAUAAUGGGUCAGCGACUUAUAUUCAGUGGCAAGCUUAACCGUAUAGGGUAGGCGUAGCGAAAGCGAGUCUUAAUAGGGCGUUUAGUCGCUGGGUAUAGACCCGAAACCGGGCGAUCUAUCCAUGAGCAGGUUGAAGGUUAGGUAACACUGACUGGAGGACCGAACCCACUCCCGUUGAAAAGGUAGGGGAUGACUUGUGGAUCGGAGUGAAAGGCUAAUCAAGCUCGGAGAUAGCUGGUUCUCCUCGAAAGCUAUUUAGGUAGCGCCUCAUGUAUCACUCUGGGGGGUAGAGCACUGUUUCGGCUAGGGGGUCAUCCCGACUUACCAAACCGAUGCAAACUCCGAAUACCCAGAAGUGCCGAGCAUGGGAGACACACGGCGGGUGCUAACGUCCGUCGUGAAAAGGGAAACAACCCAGACCGCCAGCUAAGGUCCCAAAGUUGUGGUUAAGUGGUAAACGAUGUGGGAAGGCUUAGACAGCUAGGAGGUUGGCUUAGAAGCAGCCAUCCUUUAAAGAAAGCGUAAUAGCUCACUAGUCGAGUCGGCCUGCGCGGAAGAUGUAACGGGGCUCAAACCACACACCGAAGCUGCGGGUGUCACGUAAGUGACGCGGUAGAGGAGCGUUCUGUAAGCCUGUGAAGGUGAGUUGAGAAGCUUGCUGGAGGUAUCAGAAGUGCGAAUGCUGACAUGAGUAACGACAAUGGGUGUGAAAAACACCCACGCCGAAAGACCAAGGGUUCCUGCGCAACGUUAAUCGACGCAGGGUUAGUCGGUUCCUAAGGCGAGGCUGAAAAGCGUAGUCGAUGGGAAACAGGUUAAUAUUCCUGUACUUCUGGUUACUGCGAUGGAGGGACGGAGAAGGCUAGGCCAGCUUGGCGUUGGUUGUCCAAGUUUAAGGUGGUAGGCUGAAAUCUUAGGUAAAUCCGGGGUUUCAAGGCCGAGAGCUGAUGACGAGUCGUCUUUUAGAUGACGAAGUGGUUGAUGCCAUGCUUCCAAGAAAAGCUUCUAAGCUUCAGGUAACCAGGAACCGUACCCCAAACCGACACAGGUGGUCGGGUAGAGAAUACCAAGGCGCUUGAGAGAACUCGGGUGAAGGAACUAGGCAAAAUGGCACCGUAACUUCGGGAGAAGGUGCGCCGGCUAGGGUGAAGGAUUUACUCCGUAAGCUCUGGCUGGUCGAAGAUACCAGGCCGCUGCGACUGUUUAUUAAAAACACAGCACUCUGCAAACACGAAAGUGGACGUAUAGGGUGUGACGCCUGCCCGGUGCCGGAAGGUUAAUUGAUGGGGUUAGCGCAAGCGAAGCUCUUGAUCGAAGCCCCGGUAAACGGCGGCCGUAACUAUAACGGUCCUAAGGUAGCGAAAUUCCUUGUCGGGUAAGUUCCGACCUGCACGAAUCGUAACGAUGGCGGCGCUGUCUCCACCCGAGACUCAGUGAAAUUGAAAUCGCUGUGAAGAUGCAGUGUAUCCGCGGCUAGACGGAAAGACCCCGUGAACCUUUACUGUAGCUUUGCACUGGACUUUGAGCCUGCUUGUGUAGGAUAGGUGGGAGGCUUUGAAGCGUGGACGCCAGUUCGCGUGGAGCCAUCCUUGAAAUACCACCCUGGCAUGCUUGAGGUUCUAACUCUGGUCCGUGAUCCGGAUCGAGGACAGUGUAUGGUGGGCAGUUUGACUGGGGCGGUCUCCUCCUAAAGAGUAACGGAGGAGUACGAAGGUGCGCUCAGACCGGUCGGAAAUCGGUCGCAGAGUAUAAAGGCAAAAGCGCGCUUGACUGCGAGACAGACACGUCGAGCAGGUACGAAAGUAGGUCUUAGUGAUCCGGUGGUUCUGUAUGGAAGGGCCAUCGCUCAACGGAUAAAAGGUACUCCGGGGAUAACAGGCUGAUACCGCCCAAGAGUUCAUAUCGACGGCGGUGUUUGGCACCUCGAUG